RNAcentral lists this small RNA (334 nucleotides) under Histoplasma ohiense. Its description in RNAcentral is "hypothetical lncRNA". Lineage: Eukaryota; Fungi; Ascomycota; Eurotiomycetes; Onygenales; Ajellomycetaceae. The record is from RNAcentral.
CUUGCUUAGCAACUCAUGUUGUCAUAUUUAUUAAUCUUUACAACUGUCACUUUCAGCUCUCUUCUUUAUCACUCUCUCUCAUUCAUCUGUCAGAAUUGCCAGUCUUUCUCUAUUUCUUCAUAAUAAAGAGAGAGCUCAAUGUGCUAAUUGCUUAGUGUUCAUCUGAUAUCAAAUCACUUUAAAACUUCAUUGAUUUCAAGCUGUUUCUCUGUUUUAGCUCUUUACAACCAUCCUCUAUUUUCUCCCUGCAUUUUAUCAUUGAUAGCAAGCUUCACAUCAUCAUUUAUGCAUUAGAAAGUUAUUACUGACUGGUUAGAUCAGUGUUACAACAUGC